CUACGGGCUACGAACUACGGCACUACUAUCUUGAAAAAGGCUCGCUGGUUGAAUAUCGAUUCUGAUUGGAAGUUAGCACUGAAGGACAGCCCUCUGAACGAAUUGCAGUCGAAAGAUUCAAUACAAUUAUCUCUCCAGGAGGGAGCUCAUAUGAAGAUGUGCAGCAGAAAUGGCAAUUAAAAUCUCCAUAGGGAAUCAUCUCAUGGAAAGACAGGGCGAAUGGUUUCCCUUCAUUCUGAACAAGUUGUGUAAAGAUCCUAUAAUUACGAAGUACCGUGCAAAUGUCUUCUAUCAUCUGCAAAGCCCAAGGGAGCGCAUCCUUGCUGUGUAUCUCAUCAUAGAGCCAUCAUGGCCACAACAUUGAUAAAUAUUAGAAUGACCAUAUAUUUCAUUUUGACUGAAUUGGCCCUUUUCCAAAUUGUGUGGGAAAAAUUGACUGCACUCAUAUUCUGUUCAUACCACCUAGAUGUCAUAAGGAGCCCUACUGUAACAGGAAGUUCUCCCAUUUCAACAAAGUAUGAUGUGUGAUUCCCACCUGUGGAUUAUGAGAUCUAGUUUUCCCAGAGUGUCCACAACACCACAAGCUCUCUAUGAACACUUCACCGAAGGGGUAAUGCUGGAGGGCUGGCUGGUGGGUAUAGUCAGAUGUUUUGCAGCCAUCCAGCUGUAAUUGGACAUACACACUAUUUUCCCUUCUUGUUGUUGAUUGCUGGGACUUGCAGUUUAGUAACAAAUGGAGGGUGGCAAGUUGGAACUCCCUGCUGUCCUGUAUGAACUCUACCCGCACCACAAUAUUAAUUGCUCCGGUUUGUCUGAAAUGCCAUUGUGAACUCCCAAGCAGAUCAAAAAGAAAGGUAAUGCGUAGAUUGGCAGAGACAUCAUAUGAAAAGGUUGCAGAACAAUUCCAGUACCUGGCUACAUGAAGCAGCUGAGCAGUUGUUAUGCUGGCCCUGUUACUUUGGACACUGAAAUGUGGAACUGAAAUGGGCACAAGGUUUUAUGCCUCACGCUGCAGAUGAAAAGCAAAUCUGCAGUUAAAGAAGCAAAUUACCAUUGGCACAAGAAAGAUGACUGGAUCAGUUACAGGACUUGGUCCCCUACAGACAUAUAAUUAUACAGAACCAUUUUUUAUUUUUUCAGUGCAUGUUUUAGCCUUCAACCAGUUGAUUUGGAGGAUCAAACUAUAAGCAUCAUCACAUUACAUCAUCACAUUAAAAGAAACAGGGGUUUUCUGAUCAUCAAGCCCAGCACCAAUAUGGCUCACUGACCAACCCAGAACUGUAUGGGUCAUUGUAAGGUAGCAAACUGCUAGGCCUAUGAGCUAACUGGGUGGAUGAGUCAAAGAUGGCCAGUCGUGUCUGUUACCAAACUGCACAAAUACUGUACGCAUACUAGAGAUUCCAAAUUCUGGUUUUGGACAAAUCAGAGAAUUUGAGACCAGCAAAACUGGAUCCAAACCCAUGGCCGGAUUUGUUGAAAGACCACAAAGGUCUGGGUCUAGGGCAACAGGACUGUAGGGGCUGAUUGCCGCCCAGUACCGCAUCUGCACUGGGGAUUGGGCAGACAGAAGAACUCAACAGUUAUUUGAAUGUCCUGUCCUCCUACUCCCCUCUACUCAGUGGCGGAACCAGCGGGGGAGCAGGGGGUGCGAGCGGGCCAGGGCCCGCACCCCCUCAGGGCCCCCCGGCAGUCCAUUUGCCAUUGAAAACUCGGCCAAAUGCGGCCGUACGGAGGGGGGCGGGGCCCGGCUGCGCCUCACGCACCAGGGCCCGCCCCCCUCAACGAACGCUACUGCCUCUACUGCUGAUCCCUUCUACUGGAUUCCAAGAAAAACUGUAGCACACUGAUCCAGUUUGUUUGUGCAAAGAAAAGUGCUUUCAUUGGCUCAUGGUAGACAUCAGAAGUUCGGAAACACUGGGCCCUUUAUCAAGCCUAAAUUUACAUAUCAAGUACUGUGUUCAUAAGAAGCACUUUGGGGUGAAAGGGAUUUUUUAUAGACAAUGUAUACAAAUGUCUACACUUUUUACACGGUUUUCAUAUAUUUGUUAUUUAUGGACAUUUUAUGGACAUUUUAUCACAUGGACUGCCCAUAAUCCCAAUGGAGGCACAAGGACUUUUUAAACUAAUGAAUAAUUCAUACUUGCUAAUUAACUAUACACACCAGAAGUAUGUUUCAACCUAUCCUUGAAGUUUUACUCAGGGGCCACUCCCCACUUCCCCCCUCCACCCGUUUUCAUUUAGCUAUUUAACCCAGUACUUGAAUGUAAGUUUAGGCUUGAUAAAGGGCCUAACGUUAUUAAAUUAAUACUUGAUAAUUUUUUCUGCUGUUUUAUUUUCUUUAAGAAUUUGCAUAUGCAAAGUAGGAUUUGGAUUUGUUUUAGGAUUCGGCCAAUCCUAAAUCAUAAUUCAUAAUUUGACUAAAUACUAUCAAAACUGAAUUAUUAAAUACGACACAAAUUAGAUCAUGGUUUGUUCUGCCUGGCCACUCCCUCUUACAAACUGACACACAUUUUACCCAAUCUCUGACAACCCAAUCUCUGACAAUGUGUGUUCUUCCCCCACUGAAAGGCCCUCUUAUGCUGAGAACUGGGCAAAUACGCCACCCUUAAUAGUUCUUUGUAGUUUACUGUAUACAGAAUUUCUGAAUGUAAAAUAUAUUAGAAGCUUAUUAUCUAACCAGUCAGCUCUUGGUCUAAGACUAUUCCUGAAUGUUAUGAAUGUCCCACUAAAUAGCAUGACAGUGUGUUGCUCCCAGAUAAGCACAUGCUGCACCAUUCAACCCAGCAAAUCCAUAGCCCUAACAGCAUGUGUGCAUCUCAAGUGUGAUAAAUGGAGAUUAAAUAUGAAAUAAAUGUUGAUUGUCCUGGAAAAUGUGAAGGUCUCUGAAAUGAUAAAGGCAGCCGCACUGUUUUUGUAAAUGUCAGUGCAGAAUCCAUUUAAUUCCACGGCUUUUGAUUAACUCCAUUUCUGCUGGAAUAUUCUGAUGCACAAAGAGCAUUGCUGGCUGUAACAUAGAGGAAGAGUCAUUUUUAGUGUAGCACCGGAAAGGCAACGUGUUAUAAUAAAAUGUCAUCACUUUAUUAUAUACAUAAACAACUGGUGUAAACAUGUGUUAUUUUUUCAGGGAGGCGGAACUAAGUACCAUUUGACAGCUGUAUUUCUAAAUUAAUUUCAGUUGUCCGAGAGCAAACAUCACUUACAAUGGUAUUGUUGUUGGAUUGUGUUUGCAGUAUAUGCAGUAUAGGUUUCCUGUUUAAAAGGGUGGCCUGGAAACCAUGUCCCUUUAAAAAACAUACACCUAUUAUACACUUAUUCUGCAGGCUAAUCAGUAAUUAAUGAAUAUGUACAGUACAUAUAUAAUUAUAAUCUAGUCUGGGGUUCUGCAGUAUGUCUCAGAGAUGAAUAGCAGUCAACCCAGCAGAAUCAGGGUGUUUACUAGAAAACAGAUGGCGGGCACAACAGCAUGCAGAGAUAUUUCCUGUUUGGCCAACUUGACAAGGCAAUAAAAUUCACAUUCUGCAGGGCCUGUUAAUAGCUAACAAUUCAGGGAUUCAGUAACAGACUGUAUAGAAACAGUGUUCCGCAGAAGGGGGGAAUCUGUUUUUUCCCAACUUCAAGACAUCAUUUGAACCAGUCCCUGAAUCAGCACUGUACUAAGAGUUAAAAUACCAGUAGCCAUUUUUGACAUUUUAUUUUUCUAUCUCUGUAUUUUUUCUUACUUAUUCACUUUAUUAUUUGUGUUUGUAUUCUU
Xenopus laevis (African clawed frog) is the source of this 3751-nucleotide long non-coding RNA. RefSeq lists it as uncharacterized. NCBI's taxonomy places the organism in Eukaryota, Metazoa, Chordata, Amphibia, Anura, Pipidae. The record is from RefSeq and is a predicted model, not a curated record. The transcript is spliced from 6 exons.